Non-coding RNA from Microcebus murinus (gray mouse lemur), 5925 nucleotides. The record is from RefSeq and is a predicted model, not a curated record. Lineage: Eukaryota; Metazoa; Chordata; Mammalia; Primates; Cheirogaleidae.
AUGAUUGUGCCACUGUAACACUCCAGCCUGAACAACAGAGUGAGAUCCUGUCUUAAAAAAAAAGAAUGAUGACAGUUUGAGGAUUAGACUCCUGUAUCUCCUAAGCAGAGAGAGACAGAUAGAGAGAAAGUGAGAAAGGGUUAUCACUUGCCUGACCAGGUGGGUUGCAUACCUACCCUUAAUCUUGGUAUACUGGCAAGUGGUGAAGACAAAGGGAUGGAUAGAGGCAAGAGGAGGUGGGAAGAGAGGAAGAAAGACAGAGUGCAGAGGACACAAACCCCAUGGAACUUAGAACCACAUCCUCUAACAUGGCUGGGGACAAGCCUCUGACCAUUUUGUCAUGAUGUCUUCUUCUGAGCUGUUUUUGAUUUUUUUCUUUAUUACAAUAAAUAAUGGGGAAACAUAGUUUUAUAGAAACAACCAAACUUCAUCUUCUCUCAAAAGUGUUCCUUCUGGAUUCCUAUAAUGCUAAUGUCCAAACCACACCAUAGCGGAAAAACUGACAAAGGUGGGACAGACCUGAAUUUGAGCCCUGGCUUUGCCACGUAACAGUGUUUGAUAUUGAUCACAAUGGAUCCAUUCAUUUAUCCAUCUAAUCAUCUCAUCAUUGAGCCAACCACUCUGCCAGUCAGACAACUAUCUAUCAGUUUCGUCCAUGUACGAUUCUAAAGUGGCCGAAUACGUUAAUAUUUCUUCCUCAGUUUCUUUAUCUGUCAAAGGAGGUAAUAGCUAUUCUAUUAUAUUAGUCAAUUUAUUUUUAGAAAUCCCUGAAACAUGCCAAACUUAGUACCUAACAUUUAGUAUGAUCUCUAUAAAUAUUAGUACAUUUUCCCCUCUGUUACUGUCUUGCCACAACUAUCUGCAUAAAGCAUAUCACACACACACAGUCUCACACUCUAGUCAUGAAUGUACAUGUCUUAUUCUCCUUGCACAUAAAAUUUUCAGGGACAAGGACUACAUCUCACAGAGUAGAUUCCUUACAGCCUGGAGUUAUGCACAUAGAUCAGUAAGACUUCUGGGUUGAAUUUGACACAUAUUGAGAUAUAAUAGCUCUCAUUAUUUCUGCAUCUCUCUUUCUCUCUCCCCUUUUGAGGAUUUGGCCAAUUAGUCCAGGUGUUUUGGGAGCAUCAGCCACCAGCCUUAGGAUGCAUGACGCAUGGGGGACUGGGGAGGAGGGCACUCCAGCUCCUCUCAAGGAUCCACUGACAUUUCUAUUCCGUUGGCUCAGUGAUUCUGACCAGCUCUGCUGAAGCAUGAGUAAUGCUCCGACCCUCCCCGGCUCCAGAUCAGCCCCUGGGGACCUGCCAGUGAAGAUGAACCCGAAAGGCAGCAGUGAGUCCGGCUCAUCCCCAGAGCACUUGAGCACAGCACAGCUUGUCGGGCCAGGACAAAGGCCAUGCUCCUGGCACCUCCAGAUGGUUUCUGAGAUCCAUUCGCAGUGAUGUAUGUAGUUGUAUGUAUCAGUCAAGGAGCAGUUGGAAAAACAGAAAUUGUACUGGGUAUGAAACAAAAGAAAUGCAAUGCAGGGAUCUCAGAAGUCACCUGGGAGAUGGUGAGGCAAUCCAGCUAUCAGCAACAACACGAAGCCACUGUCAAUGCUAGGGCUGGAGUGAUUUCAAAGAGGGAGUUAAUUCUGAGGAAAUCUACAUUAGCCUUCAGGAGUUAGAUCUAGGUUGGGCCUCCAGGAAUGAUUCCCAGAAAUCACAGAUCUGACCCACCAUGGGAAUUUAUACCUAUGCAGUAAUCUGGAAGAAGGGAAUCAGAAGGCCACCACUGCAACUACUGAAUUCAAGGACAUGCCAGGGUAGCUAUGAUCCAGGAUGGGGGUGCUGCAAUUGCAAAGCUGCUGUGGCCACCAAAUCAACCACAUCUCAGCAGCUUUGAAGCUGGUGACCAAAGACUGGAAACAGAGUCCAGCUACAGCUGCCAUUGCAACCGCCCCUGCCCCCCAUGAGGCAGGUGAACUUCUGUUGGGCUCUCCAUGGUUGUACUUGAAGCAGAAAACAGCCUAAAGCAGCAAGCUGUGGCUUACUGCCACCUUCUAAAUCUCAUGCCUGGAGAUAAACCGUGCAAAGAAGAUAAAGACAUUUUUCCUUCAUGAAGCUUACGUUCUGGUAGGGGAGACAGCUUCUAAACAAAUAAACAAAGAAAUAAAAAUCCAGAUAAUACAUGGUAUGAAGAAAACAAAAGUAGAGUAAGUGGAUAGAGACUAUGCAGAAAUGUGUGUAAGAAGAACCCUUAUUUUCGAUAGAGUUGUCAAGGAAGUCUUUUUGAAGAGGUGACAUUUGAACAGAAAUCUGAAUGAGAAGGUAACAGCCAUACGAAUAUCUAAGAAGAAAAGCAAAUGCAAAGAGGGAACAGCAAGGGAAAAGCCCAAGAGAUGAGAAUGAGUUCAAUGUGUUCAGGAAACAUCAAGAAGACCAAUGAAGUUGGAGCAUAGUGAGAAAGGAAGAGAGUGGUAUGCAAUGAAGUCAGACAGCUAUGCAAGGUCAGGUUUAUGUAGAUCUUUGCAGAUCUUGGUAAGGAGUUGGGAUUUAAUUUUAAAUUAAAGUACUGAAAAGCCAUUGGUGAUUCUUAAGCAGGUGGCUGAUGUACCUGAUUUUAUGUUUUUAAAAGGCCAUUCUGGCUGUUGAGUGGCAAGUGGAUAAAUGGAAGAAUGAAUUAAAUAUUAUUGUGUUACUCCAUUAUGAGCAAAACCAUCUUGUUUGUGUAAGGUACAUUGAGAGUUCCAAGACACAGAAAGGAAAAUGUCCCUUUCAGCCAUAUCUCAGGAAUCUCCUCUUGAUCUAGAAAGACUGAAUUAAUGAAUUAAUCUCUUUGAAGGGAAAUGUUCCUUUGAGAGGUUAUUCCUGUUGGAUGAGGUCCCAUGCUGUUGGCAAGAGUUUAUAAAACACCUUUCUUUCUAACCAUCUCAGACAUGGUAACCCUGGAGAUUCAGGUACUGCAUCUUAAUUGUUGUCAUCAUAAACAGUUGUGUCUGGUUGCUGGGAGGGCCAGAUACAUGCGUCUGUAUUCCCUACCUAUGGCAACUGGAACAUCAUUUUCUAUUAUGUUCUGUUUUGUUCUGACAGACAAUUGAUUAAUUAGCACAAUCAGCAUCUCUCCUUGAAAACGGCCAUGGAUCAGUGUGUCCCCCUCCAUCAUGUAAUUGAAUCAGGGCCCACACACCUGUUUCCACUUCCUUUAAACAAACACCUGCCCAAUAACUAACACAAAGCAAUAUUAAAUCUCAACCUGCCUUGUGCAUAAACACAUCUUUCAACCUGACCUAAUCAAUGCUGAAAGCUAGGAAAAUGUAGGUUUCAGAGAAGACUGCCGGGUGAUCCUUACCUGCCAUCAGGUAAGCUCUGCAGCUCUGACCCAAUCCAAGGCUGCGUGACAGAGCUGGUCAUGGCCGUAUUGUACCAUGAUGCAAGGUUUGGUGGCUGGAGUCAGACCAACCUAGGACCAUACCUGGUUUUCUAGUGUGUGACACUGAGCAAUUCACUUAACCCCUUAACCCCCAAUUCACUUAAGUCCUUGUUUUCUCAUCUUUAAAAUGGGGACAAAAAUAUUUCCUCAAGUGUUUGUUGUUCUUAACAAUCUUCAUUAAAAAAUGAACAGAACCUUAAAGAACUGUGAGACUAUAUCAAAAGUUCUUAUAUUAGUCCUGGACACAGAGGAGAAAGAAAUUUACGCAGAAAUAUAUUUGAAUAAAUAUUGAAAUUUCCCCAAAUAUGGUAAGUAAAUCAUGCAUAUAAAGAGCUCCAUACAGUAUUUAGCACAUGGUAAGCAAGUGUUAGCAUUUUUUACUAUAAUAAGAGAAUAUUAAGAACAAUUGGGUUGGUAAAUUUCAGUUCUGGUUAAGAGGGAGAAAGUACAUGUUACUCUAUCUUUUUCACUAAUUACAGCUAACAGUCCUGAGCAGAAUAUAUGGAGCAACUAUCUGAGGAUGCUGAAAAGCAAAUAAUAGCAGGUCAACUGAGGAAAAGAAUAAAACGCUCAAUGGAAAUGAGUUCCUGAUUUUCCCCCCUCCCAUAUGUCCUGGCAUAGAUUCUAGAGAAGCCCAAAUCCUAAAGCUGUGAAAAAGGUGCUAACAGAGAGUUUCUAGAAAAACUCUGUCUCUUGGGUGAAAGGAGUGGGGAAGGAGCCCCUGGGAAGCAGAAAUCUUUUACUUCUCCCAGCCCCACUGCAGAUAUGUCUCAUAACAAAGUAGCUUUCCCAGGUGUAGCAAUAGCAGCAACAGUGGAUGUGGACUCAGAGGUGGCAGCUAGAGCAGCAGAGACUGGCGAUUCUUUCCUCUUGCCACUUUGCCCUAAGGUAGACUCAGUUGCAGGAAGUUAAUGACAGUGCAGGGAAGCUAAUGCAUAGGUUUCUAGCCAGAGCUGGGAAAAGGAGCCCAUGAAAGUCAGAGAGCUUGGAAGAUCCAUAGAUAAGAGGUAACUGGAGGAAAGAAUCUUUUAAGUCUGUGUAUAAUAUUAAUAUCUUAUGCUCAGCACUUAGCUGUCUAUACAUAGUGAUCAGAAGUAAGAUAGUAAAGGCUUUGAAAACGUAACUACAGUGUAGACCAUCACCCAGGUCCCAGACUGACUCCUGAGUGGUGCAUGCACAGAGUAAGACAGAUAAUAGAGAAAUGCUGUGAAAAAUAAACGGACUCUGGAACCACAGUGUGCAGGUGAGUCAAGACUAUGGUCUGAACCUAACUGAGUUGAUUGCUCAUUAAUAUAAAACAAGCAAACAAAAAUCAACAUUCUCCAGAAAAUUUUUAACAAAACCUAGAGUCUCAUAGCAUAAAAUCAAAAUGUCUAGGAUACAAUCUAAAAUUACUCAACAUACAAAGAGCCAGGAAAAUCUUAACAUCUUUCAAGGGAAAAAACAAUCAACAGAUGCAAACUUCAAGAUGACUCAGGUAUAGGAAAUAUCAUAAAGUCUUUAAAGCACCUUUCACAAUGAUGACCCAUGAAGUAAGGGUGAAUGCUCUGAAUGGAAAGAUAGGCAUUAUGAACAAAGAAAUAGAAGGUAUAUCAAAGAACCAAAUAGAAAUUUUAGAAUUGAAAGAUACAAUAAGAGAAAUAAAAAGUCCACUGGAGGACUUCAAAAUGAAGGUGAGAAAGGAAAGAGUCAAUGAACUUGAAGUUAGGUCAAUAAAAAUUAUUUAAUAUGGAAAACACAGAGGGGAAAAAAGUUUGAUAGAAGAUGAACAGGGUCUCAAAAUAUCAAUAUCAAAAUUCUUAUAUCAAUUUUCUUGCAGUCCUGAUGGAAAGGAGAAAGAAUUUUGUGCAGAAAUAUCAUUGAAGAAAUAAUGGUUGAAAAUUUCCCAACUUUGGAAAAGGAUAUAUAUUUAGCAGAUGGAAGAAGUUCAGGAAAUUUGAAAGAGGAUAAACUCAAAGCGAACCAUGUUCUGACUCAUCAUAAUCAAAGAGCAGAAAAUAAUACAAAACAAAAAUUUUACAAAAGGCCAGAGAAAAAUAGGAUUUUAUAUAUAAGGGAUCAAUGAUUUGAAAGAUCACAGAUUUCAUUAGAAACCAUGGAAACCAAAAGCAGUGUAAUAACAUUUUUAAAGCAUUGAAAGAAAAGAACUCUCAACCCAGAUUUUCUUUUUUUUUUUUGAGAAAACACUUAGACCCUGUCCUCUGCCUCUUGUUUUACCAAAUAGGGACACGAAACCGAAUAGGGACAGAAGAAUAAUUAUCAAUAGCAAAUGGCAGAUGCAGCAAAGCAACACCAAGAGUUGGCUUCACACUCAGGAGAGAAUGUUGUGCUUCCUCUCGUGGUUUUUGGUGCUCUACAUGCUCAGAAAAACUUCUCUAGUAAAGAACUACAGAAAUGAUCUCUGAAACUAUAGUCUUAACCCAAAUUUUCAUACCAAGUGAAAAUACCAUUCAGGCUUUAAUCCUGGGGACCAGGUGUGGAAAUAUAAAAUGUAUUUUUUCACCAUAUUAUCCU